CGGCUUAAUAAGCCUGCAUGAAAUGCCAACUUUUAGCGCACGGCUCUAUCCCAAGAGCCAUUUCCCUGGACCGAAUAUAGGAUUCGUAUUCGGUCUUUUUUU
Non-coding RNA from Yersinia ruckeri, 102 nucleotides. NCBI's taxonomy places the organism in Bacteria, Pseudomonadati, Pseudomonadota, Gammaproteobacteria, Enterobacterales, Yersiniaceae. The record is from Rfam.